This 399-nucleotide ribosomal RNA is filed under the name uncultured bacterium. Its description in RNAcentral is "bacterial SSU rRNA". It matches the Rfam family "Bacterial small subunit ribosomal RNA", at positions 358 to 773 of the family's 1533-position model. The record is from RNAcentral.
GGAAUAUUGCACAAUGGGCGCAAGCCUGAUGCAGCAACGCCGCGUGCGGGAAGAAGGCCUUAGGGUUGUAAACCGCUUUCAGCAGGGAAGAAAAUGACGGUACCUGCAGACGAAGGAGCGGCCAACUACGUGCCAGCAGCCGCGGUGACACGUAGGCUCCAAGCGUUGUCCGGAUUUAUUGGGCGUAAAGAGCUCGUAGGCGGUUUAGUAAGUCGGGUGUGAAAACUCUGGGCUUAACCCAGAGACGCCACCCGAUACUGCUAUGACUUGAGUACGGUAGGGGAGUGGGGAAUUCCUGGUGUAGCGGUGAAAUGCGCAGAUAUCAGGAGGAAUACCAGUGGCGAAGGCGCCACUCUGGGCCGUAACUGACGCUGAGGAGCGAAAGCCAGGGGAGCAAAC